AUGCCUCGACAGUAUAUUUAUCCGGACACCAUCGAAGAAGCGGUGCAGAGAAUAAUCCCUUAUCUAGAGGAUACAAGCAGUACUGCACACAAGGCCAUCUAUUUUAAUGGAUGGCAAGGGCUGGGUGCUUCCGCGGUGCUUAGAGCCAUAGCCAAAGACCCUCCGCCAUCUCUGCUGAACAAAUUCGACAAGAUCGUCCACGUCGAUUGCUCGAGGUGGAAAAGCCGACGAGCACUCCAGAGGACAAUCGCACAAGAACUCAAGCUUCCUCAGCGGGUAAUGGAUAUGUUUGAUAGGCAAGAUGAAGAAGAUGAUUUUAAAGGGGCAGAUGAAAGUUCAAGAGCUGAGAUACAAGAUGUUGGGGCAGAGAUCUAUCAGGUUGUACAACAACAGAAAAAAUUACUGGUCUUCCAUAAUGGGAGCGGCAACACAAAUGACCUGAAUGAUUUUGGCAUUCCUCUGUCAGUGUGGGGUACUCGAGUAUUGUGGACAUUUCGAGGAGGGCUUCGGCUAAACCCAGGAAUUAAUGAGAAGGUGGAUGAGUCACAUCUUUUUCUUUAUCGUGAGAGGAGCCCUUUAGGGUGGAAUUAUUUGUUGCAAAAAGAGGCUAGAGAAAUUGCAGGUUACACAUAUAAGCUUGAUGAAGUAGCCGAAGAGUGUUGCUUGUAUAUGUUGUCACUAAAUUCUCAAGGAGGCAAUAUCAUGGACUACGACUGGGCUACCCAUGCUUCGAGCUAUUGGGUUUGUGAUGGGAUAAUACAGGGAGGUCAGGGUGAUGAAGCAUGGGAGGUUGCUGCUGCUCUACAUAAUCAAAUAUGUAUAGAGGAUUAUUCAUCUAAUGCACUACCCUCAUUUGGUCAGGAACUAGUGACUCCUCGGAAACAGUGGAUAUUGGCCAGGGACGACUUUGUUGUGCAUCCAGAGUCAACGUCCUUUUUCCUUACUGCAGUCGCAAGCCAGUCUGAUCAUUCAUUAAGACACUUACCUUAUGACAUGUUUCAUCAAUCGGACAAACUUUGUGUGCUCAAGUUAUGCCGCUGCACCUUCAAAUUUUCCUCUCCUCCUUUUCAUUGUUGCCACAAGUUAAGAUUCCUUGGAUUAGAUAGUUGCCAGGAUCUACAACCAGAAGAAGAAAAGAAGCAAGAUGGACAAACAACGGAUUUUUUUAAGAGCCUAUGGGUGAUAGACAUAUGCAAUACGGACUGGGAUAUGCCUGCAUCACCAGAUAUAAUAGAAAAGAUGGCCGCGAACAUUAGGGAGGUACAUAUAAAGAAAGGAAGGAUUUGGUGCCACAAUUUUGCAUGGCGACAACUGCAGAGCCUUCACAAGCUUCGAGUGAUUGAUCCUACUUCCCCUUGGCAGACGUGCAAAAUGGAUGAAUUCACAGACAUGAUGAAGUUGGAGUUCCUCGACCUUUCUGGGAAUAGUACAAUACAAGUUUUGCCCAGUAUGUCAGGUGCAACUAGCCUCAAGACCCUGGUUCUAGAUGGUUGUGUUGGUUUGGAGCAUGUUGAAGGACUCCCUCCAUCACUUGUAUCAUUCAGCUUUGAUGCAGGACCAAGAAAGGAUGAUUACAAGGAAGCCAAAAUAAGCCACAUCUCCAUGGCUGGUUGUGCAAGAUUGUCUGACUUCACAUUGUGUGGAUCACUUCCAAACCUUGCGGAGCUGGACCUAUCUGGCACAAGAGUCAAGACACUUGAUCUCACAACUCAGGUGGUGCAGGUCCCACGUCUCCAACACAUUAUUCUAUUGGGAUGUAUGCAACUUCAUGCCAUUUUAUGGCCAAAAGAGGGUCUGCCAACACUGACAGUGCUGCAGAUUGGUUCCUCGGUCUAUCCUGUUCAAACAAAACUAUAUGAAGUGUAUGUUACUAUAAUGGACAUAAGGUUUAUUCAGUCCUUGGUAUUACGAAGCAAUGCCCGAUUCUGUUGGAAGAGCAAUAGGUUCCAUCUAAAUCUUUGUGUCCCUUGUACCACCAAUGUUAAGGGAGAAAGCUAUAUGAAGGAGAAGAUGGGCCCUGGUAAUAGUGGGAAAAUAAUGGGUCCACCUCAACCAAAGUCAUUAAACCCCAAUACUUGCAGCACCUACAUUGAUGUCCCUAUUGGCAACAUAAUUAUUGAUCACGACUACAACAAUGGAAUGCAGUUUCAGCCAUCGGGUUGUCAUGUGGAGAUUGGUAUGGGAGUUAGCAACGCUAGCGUGGAGAGUGUAGAAGCAAUCAAGGCUAUCAUCUUUGCAAUGAACCAAUCCGAGUCGUUACAUGUUCAUGACAAUUCUUCCAUCACCACCACUGCCAUCACUGAACACAUGGUGUCUAGUUUUGGGAGGAAUCUUGACUGGAGACAUCUAAAACACUGUCAUGUGGUGAGAUGCCCCAAGAUGCGCACAACCUUCACGACUAACUAUGGUGUCUUCCCUUUUACAGAAAUAGAGACCUUCUGGGCCGCUGAUCUACCGAUGGCACACUGCGUUUGGAGCAAAGGAACGACCUGGAGUGGCACAAACACUGUUUGCUUUGCCAAACUGCGGAGCAUACACCUAUACUCUUGCCCAAGGCUCGAAUUUGUGCUUCCGUUAUUGUGGGGUAUUCAAGGAUCAUACUUGCACAAUUUAGAAAGUCUCCACAUUGUCAACUGUGGUGAUCUAAAGACGGUGUUCCCUGUUCAUCCUGUGCUCAAAGAAAAUGUACUUGAGUUCCCAAGGCUGAAGCACAUCCAUCUGUAUGAGCUCUAUAAGCUGCAGCAUAUAUGUGAGGUGAAGAUGCAUGCGCCCAAGCUUGAGAGGGUAUGGCUGAGGGGCUGCUGGGGCCUCAGGCGCCUCCCCGCCGUCAACCAAGGUAGCCGUCGCCCCGUCGUGGACUGCGAGCAGGACUGGUGGGAGAAGCUGGAGUGGGACGGGCUGGAGGCUGGGCACGACCCUUGCCUCUUCGAGCGACGCCAUUCGUCGCAUUACAAGAAGCCUCUGCCCAGAGUUUCAGUGCUUCGGUGA
Molecule: ribosomal RNA, 2988 nt
Filed under: Triticum aestivum (bread wheat)
Lineage: Eukaryota; Viridiplantae; Streptophyta; Magnoliopsida; Poales; Poaceae
Description: partial small subunit ribosomal RNA
Source: RNAcentral